Molecule: small nuclear RNA, 102 nt
Organism: Arvicola amphibius (Eurasian water vole)
Lineage: Eukaryota; Metazoa; Chordata; Mammalia; Rodentia; Cricetidae
Source: RefSeq, a predicted model, not a curated record
GGGCUCACUUUGGCAGUACAUAUACUAAAACUGGUGCUACAGAGAUUAGCAUGGCCGCUGUGCAAGGAUGGUGCAUAGAUUUGUGAAACAUUCCAUACCUUU